Molecule: ribosomal RNA, 708 nt
Filed under: Triticum aestivum (bread wheat)
Lineage: Eukaryota; Viridiplantae; Streptophyta; Magnoliopsida; Poales; Poaceae
Description: partial small subunit ribosomal RNA
Source: RNAcentral
AUGAACCCACGAGCAAGCCCUGGGCCAGAUGGCUUCGGCCCCUCCUUUUACAGGUCCUUCUGGGCCUCUAUUAAACAUGCCAUUCUGCCCUUUUUCCAACAACUCCACCAAGGUGUAGCAGAUACAGAACGCUUAAAUCAUGCUCACAUCGUCCUCCUCCCAAAAAAUGCAGCCACCUCCUCACCCGAUGCCUUCAGACCAAUCUCCCUACAAAACUGCCCCGUCAAAGCCUUUGCCAAAGCCAUCACUUCGCGCCUCAAACCUCUCAUUCCUAGCCUAGUUCAUGGGAACCAAACAGGGUUCAUCACCGGUAGGAAUAUUGCAGAAAAUUACGUCUUUGCGGCCGACCUAAUCAGCUCUUGCCACUCCCGCAAAAAACCGACCAUGGUUUUCAAACUCGAUUUCAGGAAGGCAUUUGAUUCUAUUGCCUGGCCUGCCCUCGACAGGAUCUUGGAUGCCCGCGGCUUCUCUCAAACCUUUCGAUCUUGGAUUCAAAACAUCCUACGCACGGGUAAAACUGCUAUCCUCCUAAAUGGCAUUCCUGGCCACUGGAUUCAAUGCAAGAAAGGCCUGCGGCAGGGCGACCCAGCCUCGCCCUACCUGUUCCUCAUUGUUGCCGAUCUCCUUCAGCAGCUCAUCAUCCAAAACUCCGAGCCAGAUCUCCUCCACCACCCCAUCUUUACCCACCUGCCACCCACCAUUCUCUAA